UGGGUCGGCUGGACGGUCGCGUCACGGGUUCGCCCGUGCCGAGGAACGUCCGGGCUCCACAGGGCAGGACGGUGGGUAACGCCCACCCGGAGCAAUCCGCGAGACAGUGCCACAGAGAGUAGACCGCCCGCACCGCACUCGUCGUGGAGCGGGUAAGGGUGAAAGGGUGGUGUAAGAGACCACCGGGGUCGUGGUGACACGACUCGCGAGGUAAACCUCGUCCGGAGCAAGGCCAGACAGGGGAUGUUGACGCGGCUCGCCGAGUCCCCGGGUAGGCCGCUGGAGUGGCACGGCAACGUGUCGCCGAGAGAGAUGACCGUCCACGGGGCUUCGGCCCCCGGACAGAACCCGGCGUACAGGCCGGCCCAUUCG
RNAcentral lists this RNase P RNA (372 nucleotides) under Microbacterium sp. Leaf179. RNAcentral describes it as "bacterial RNase P". It matches the Rfam family "Bacterial RNase P class A". Rfam says of the family: Ribonuclease P (RNase P) is a ubiquitous endoribonuclease, found in archaea, bacteria and eukarya as well as chloroplasts and mitochondria. Its best characterised activity is the generation of mature 5'-ends of tRNAs by cleaving the 5'-leader elements of precursor-tRNAs. Cellular RNase Ps are ribonucleoproteins. Lineage: Bacteria; Bacillati; Actinomycetota; Actinomycetes; Micrococcales; Microbacteriaceae. The record is from RNAcentral.